UACAGAGGUCCCGAGCGUUGUUCGGAUUCACUGGGCGUAAAGGGUGCGUAGGCGGCCACCGCAAGUCGACUGUGAAAUCUCCGGGCUUAACCCGGAAAGGUCAGCCGAUACUGCGGGGCUAGAGUGCAGAAGGGGCAACUGGAAUUCUCGGUGUAGCGGUGAAAUGCGUAGAUAUCGAGAGGAACACCUGCGGCGAAGGCGGGUUGCUGGGCUGACACUGACGCUGAAGCGCGAAAGCUAGGGGAGCGAACGGG
This 254-nucleotide ribosomal RNA is filed under the name uncultured bacterium. RNAcentral's name for it is "partial 16S ribosomal RNA". It matches the Rfam family "Bacterial small subunit ribosomal RNA", at positions 524 to 776 of the family's 1533-position model. The record is from RNAcentral.